CCUUCGGGGUGGUGAAAGUGGCGCACGGGUGAGUAACGCGUGGAUAAUCUGCCCGAGGAUUUGGGAUAACAUCUCGAAAGGGGUGCUAAUACCGAAUAAGCCCACGGGGUCUACGGAUCUUGCGGGAAAAGGGGGGGACCUUCGGGCCUCCUGUCCUUGGAUGAGUCUGCGUACCAUUAGCUAGUUGGUGGGGUAAUGGCCUACCAAGGCGACGAUGGUUAGCUGGUCUGAGAGGAUGAUCAGCCACACUGGAACUGAGACACGGUCCAGACUCCUACGGGAGGCAGCAGUGGGGAAUUUUGCGCAAUGGGGGAAACCCUGACGCAGCAACGCCGCGUGGGUGAUGAAGGCCUUCGGGUCGUAAAGCUCUGUCUGGAGGGAAGAAAUGAUUGGGAGCUAAUACCUCUUGAUCUUGACGGUACCUCUGAAGGAAGCACCGGCUAACUCCGUGCCAGCAGCCGCGGUAAUACGGAGGGUGCAAGCGUUGUUCGGAAUUAUUGGGCGUAAAGCGCGUGUAGGCGGUCUUUUAAGUCUGAUGUGAAAGCCCCGG
This 550-nucleotide ribosomal RNA is filed under the name uncultured Geobacter sp. RNAcentral's name for it is "bacterial SSU rRNA". It matches the Rfam family "Bacterial small subunit ribosomal RNA", at positions 77 to 606 of the family's 1533-position model. Lineage: Bacteria; Pseudomonadati; Thermodesulfobacteriota; Desulfuromonadia; Geobacterales; Geobacteraceae. The record is from RNAcentral.